Molecule: ribosomal RNA, 292 nt
Filed under: uncultured bacterium
Lineage: Bacteria
Description: partial 16S ribosomal RNA
Rfam family: Bacterial small subunit ribosomal RNA
Source: RNAcentral
GUGCCAGCCGCCGCGGUAAUACGUAGGGGGCUAGCGUUGUCCGGAAUCAUUGGGCGUAAAGCGCGUGUAGGCGGUCCGGUAAGUCCGCUGUGAAAGUCGAGGGCUCAACCCUCGAAUGCCGGUGGAUACUGUCGGGCUUGAGUACGGGAGAGGCGAGUGGAAUUCCUGGUGUAGCGGUGAAAUGCGCAGAUAUCAGGAGGAACACCGAUUGCGAAGGCAGCUCGCUGGAACGUUACUGACGCUGAGACGCGAAAGCGUGGGGAGCAAACAGGAUUAGAAACCCCAGUAGUCC